UAAGUUAUAGCUUAAAGGGAAGCAUCUCGUUUACAUUGAGAAGAUCACUAAAUCUAGUGUAAUUUAAAA
RNAcentral lists this transfer RNA (69 nucleotides) under Caridina celebensis. RNAcentral's name for it is "tRNA-Val". It matches the Rfam family "tRNA". From Rfam's summary of the family: Transfer RNA (tRNA) molecules are approximately 80 nucleotides in length. Their secondary structure includes four short double-helical elements and three loops (D, anti-codon, and T loops). Further hydrogen bonds mediate the characteristic L-shaped molecular structure. tRNAs have two regions of fundamental functional importance: the anti-codon, which is responsible for specific mRNA codon recognition, and the 3' end, to which the tRNAs corresponding amino acid is attached (by aminoacyl-tRNA synthetases). tRNAs cope with the degeneracy of the genetic code in two manners: having more than one tRNA (with a specific anti-codon) for a particular amino acid; and 'wobble' base-pairing, i.e. permitting non-standard base-pairing at the 3rd anti-codon position. Lineage: Eukaryota; Metazoa; Arthropoda; Malacostraca; Decapoda; Atyidae. The record is from RNAcentral.